UUGACCUCGGAUCAGGUAGGGAUACCCGCUGAACUUAAGCAUAUCAAUAAGCGGAGGGGGCUAGAGCGGCC
RNAcentral lists this ribosomal RNA (71 nucleotides) under Ascochyta medicaginicola. RNAcentral describes it as "partial 28S ribosomal RNA". Lineage: Eukaryota; Fungi; Ascomycota; Dothideomycetes; Pleosporales; Didymellaceae. The record is from RNAcentral.